GGAUGAACGCUGGCGGCGUGCUUAACACAUGCAAGUCGAACGGUGAACACGGAGCUUGCUCUGUGGGAUCAGUGGCGAACGGGUGAGUAACACGUGAGCAACCUGCCCCUGACUCUGGGAUAAGCGCUGGAAACGGCGUCUAAUACUGGAUACGAGCCACGACCGCAUGGUCAGUGGUUGGAAAGAAUUUUGGUUGGGGAUGGGCUCGCGGCCUAUCAGCUUGUUGGUGAGGUAAUGGCUCACCAAGGCGUCGACGGGUAGCCGGCCUGAGAGGGUGACCGGCCACACUGGGACUGAGACACGGCCCAGACUCCUACGGGAGGCAGCAGUGGGGAAUAUUGCACAAUGGGCGCAAGCCUGAUGCAGCAACGCCGCGUGAGGGAUGACGGCCUUCGGGUUGUAAACCUCUUUUAGCAGGGAAGAAGCGAAAGUGACGGUACCUGCAGAAAAAGCGCCGGCUAACUACGUGCCAGCAGCCGCGGUAAUACGUAGGGCGCAAGCGUUAUCCGGAAUUAUUGGGCGUAAAGAGCUCGUAGGCGGUUUGUCGCGUCUGCUGUGAAAUCCCGAGGCUCAACCUCGGGCCUGCAGUGGGUACGGGCAGACUAGAGUGCGGUAGGGGAGAUUGGAAUUCCUGGUGUAGCGGUGGAAUGCGCAGAUAUCAGGAGGAACACCGAUGGCGAAGGCAGAUCUCUGGGCCGUAACUGACGCUGAGGAGCGAAAGGGUGGGGAGCAAACAGGCUUAGAUACCCUGGUAGUCCACCCCGU
RNAcentral lists this ribosomal RNA (765 nucleotides) under Microbacterium sp. RNAcentral's name for it is "bacterial SSU rRNA". It matches the Rfam family "Bacterial small subunit ribosomal RNA", at positions 27 to 803 of the family's 1533-position model. The record is from RNAcentral. Lineage: Bacteria; Bacillati; Actinomycetota; Actinomycetes; Micrococcales; Microbacteriaceae.